CACAAUUUUAACAAUUUGUGUGAACAGGUGAAAUAAAACUCUUACUAAAUGGCAUUAUAAAGUUUAAAGUCAACGGCAACCUAUUAGGAUGUAGGUGGCCAUGACAACAAUGCUAAAAAUUCCAAAUUUUUUUGGAAAAGGGGACAUGAGUAAUUGAAGAAGAAAACUAGAAGAAAAUGGCAUGUCAUCAUCAAUGUGGAGCAUAAAGAGUCGUCCAUGCCUACGCCCCUUCUCGAUCAUUUUUUGGGUGCACCGAUCCU
RNAcentral lists this long non-coding RNA (260 nucleotides) under Elaeis guineensis (African oil palm). RNAcentral's name for it is "long non-coding RNA (EGUI_LNC063939)". Lineage: Eukaryota; Viridiplantae; Streptophyta; Magnoliopsida; Arecales; Arecaceae. The record is from RNAcentral.